This 497-nucleotide ribosomal RNA is filed under the name uncultured bacterium. RNAcentral describes it as "partial 16S ribosomal RNA". It matches the Rfam family "Bacterial small subunit ribosomal RNA", at positions 28 to 507 of the family's 1533-position model. The record is from RNAcentral.
GAUGAACGCUGGCGGCGUGCCUAAUACAUGCAAGUCGAGCGAACAGACGAGGAGCUUGCUCCUCUGACGUUAGCGGCGGACGGGUGAGUAACACGUGGAUAACCUACCUCUAAGACUGGGAUAACUUCGGGAAACCGGCGCUAAUACCGGAUAAUAUAUUUAACCGCAUGGUUCAAUAGUGAAAGACGGUUUUGCUGUCACUUCUAGAUGGAUCCGCGCCGCAUUAGCUAGUUGGUAAGGUAACGGCUUACCAAGGCAACGAUGCGUAGCCGACCUGAGAGGGUGAUCGGCCACACUGGAACUGAGACACGGUCCAGACUCCUACGGGAGGCAGCAGUAGGGAAUCUUCCGCAAUGGGCGAAAGCCUGACGGAGCAACGCAGCGUGAGUGAUGAAGGUCUUCGGAUCGUAAAACUCUGUUAUUAGGGAAGAACAAAUGUGUAAGUAACUAUGCACGUCUUGACGGUACCUAAUCAGAAAGCCACGGCUAACUACGUG